This 884-nucleotide long non-coding RNA is filed under the name Cyanistes caeruleus (blue tit). Its description in RNAcentral is "lncRNA (ENSCCEG00000007949.1)". The record is from RNAcentral. Lineage: Eukaryota; Metazoa; Chordata; Aves; Passeriformes; Paridae.
CUCCAGGGGGGGAUCGGGGGCCUGCCGGUGUCCAGGGCAGGAUGGGGACAAGGGGAUGUUCCCGAAUCCCUUCACCCGCUGCCACUUGUGGGAUUUGAGGGCGAGCUGGUCCUGAGCCCGUUUCCCGGGUGGGCUCACCCCCUCCCCGCAGGGUCCGUCGCCGCUGGAUUCCACGCGGAGCACGCGGCACCACGGGCUGGUGGAGCGCGUCCAGCGGGACCCGCGCCGGAUGAUGUCCCCCCUGCGCCGCUACGUCCGGCAGAUAUCCUUUAUCCCGUGUCCCCAGCGCCAUCCCGGCGCUCCCGCCCUUCCCGCGGGGUUCGGGAGCCCCCGGCUCUCGGUGUGGCCCUUAACGCUCCCCCCACAUCGACAGCUCUCCCUACGGACCCACGUACCUGUCGCCUCCGCCUGAGCCCAGCUGGAGGAGGACCAUGCCCUGGAGCAAUUUCCCGAUGGAAAAAGGACAUUUAUUCCGGCUGCCCUCAGCUCUCAACAGGUGAUGGAUUGUUUGAUUCCGUUUUCUCCCUGUCCCCAAGCCAGGCUCCCGCCUUUCCCUGUGGACAAAGUGGCCCUGGGGACUCCUGGGGGGGCCCUGGGACCCCCCUGGGGAGGAGGUGGCCCCUGACUCCCCCUCGGGGCCCCCCUGUCCUCCCCUGUGCCACAGCUGAACAAUGUCCCUCUUUGUCACUCACCCCAGCUGCCUUUCCCAGCCCUUCCCUGCCCUCCUCCACCUCGAACAGCUCAUUGGGAACACCCCGGGUGCCCCCAGCCCCUAAAGGGUUCCCAGGGGGUCCCAGGGGGUGCCAUUGUCCCCCCAUGCCAGGGGAGGUGGAGGAGACGGGAGCAGAGCCCGUCUGGGGGAGAGGGAUCCCGGUGGGGAGGGG